RNAcentral lists this ribosomal RNA (472 nucleotides) under uncultured bacterium. Its description in RNAcentral is "partial 16S ribosomal RNA". It matches the Rfam family "Bacterial small subunit ribosomal RNA", at positions 29 to 507 of the family's 1533-position model. The record is from RNAcentral.
AUAAACGCUGGCGGCGCACAUAAGACAUGCAAGUUGAACGGACUUAAUCGAAAUAUUUAUAUUUUGAAGCGGUUAGUGGCGGACUGGUGAGUAACGCGUAAGGAACCUGCCUAUUAGAGGGGAAUAACAGUGAGAAAUCAUUGCUAAUACCGCAUAUGCCAUAGAUAUCACAUGAUAACAGUGGGAAAGGAGCAAUCCGCUAAUAGAUGGCCUUGCGUCUGAUUAGAUAGUUGGUGGGGUAACGGCCUACCAAGUCGACGAUCAGUAGCCGGACUGAGAGGUUGAGCGGCCACAUUGGGACUGAGAUACGGCCCAGACUCCUACGGGAGGCAGCAGUCGGGAAUAUUGCGCAAUGGAGGAAACUCUGACGCAGUGACGCCGCGUAUAGGAAGAAGGUUUUCGGAUUGUAAACUAUUGUCGUUAGGGAAGAGAAAGGACAGUACCUAAGGAGGAAGCUCCGGCUAACUACGUG